GAAACCAACAGGGAUUGCCUUAGUAACGGCGAGUGAAGCGGCAAUAGCUCAAAUUUGAAAUCUGGCGCUUGGGUCCGAGUUGUAAUUUGCAGAGGAUGAUUUUGGUUAGGUACCUUCCGAGUUCCUUGGAACAGGACGCCUUAGAGGGUGAGAGCCCCGUACGGUUGGAUGCCGAGCCUUUGUAAAUCUCCUUCGACGAGUCGAGUAGUUUGGGAAUGCUGCUCUAAAUGGGAGGUAAAUUUCUUCUAAAGCUAAAUACCGGCCAGAGACCGAUAGCGCACAAGUAGAGUGAUCGAAAGAUGAAAAGCACUUUGAAAAGAGGGUUAAAUAGCACGGUAAAUUGUUGAAAGGGAAGGAUUUAUGACCAGACUUUUUCUAGGAGGAUCAUCCGGUGUUCUCACCGGUGCACUUCUUCUAGUCUAGGCCAGCAUCGACUUUCGGCGGUGGAUAAAAGCUUUGGGAAUGUGGCUCCUUUCGGGGAGUGUUAUAGCCUAUUGUAUAAUACACUGCUGGGGGUCGAGGUACGCGCUUCUGCAAGGAUGCUGGCGUAAUGGUUAUCAAUCACCCGUCUUGAAACACGGACCAAGGAGUCGAACAUUUGUGCAAGUGUUUGGGUGUUAAACCCUCACGCGUAAUGAAAGUGAACGGAGGUGAGAGCCCUUACGGGUGCAUCAUCGACCGAUCCUGAUGUUUUCGGAUGGAUUUGAGUAAGAGCAUAACUGUUCGGACCCGAAAGAUGGUGAACUAUGCGUGGAUAGGGUGAAGCCAGAGGAAACUCUGGUGGAGGCUCGCAGCGGUUCUGACGUGCAAAUCGAUCGUCAAAUCUGCGCAUGGGGGCGAAAGACUAAUCGAACCAUCUAGUAGCUGGUUACCG
RNAcentral lists this ribosomal RNA (874 nucleotides) under Truncatella angustata. RNAcentral's name for it is "LSU rRNA". It matches the Rfam family "Eukaryotic large subunit ribosomal RNA", at positions 61 to 960 of the family's 3401-position model. The record is from RNAcentral. Lineage: Eukaryota; Fungi; Ascomycota; Sordariomycetes; Amphisphaeriales; Sporocadaceae.